AGAUGCUUACUGAAAGCGGGUUUUAAUAAAGGAUACAUACACGUGACCUCAAAAUGAUGGCCUGGAGGCGCACAGCAAUGAUGAAAUCAGAGGUUGGGAUAAUCAUAGUCUGAGCGAAGUGUUAAAAAUCUAAAUAGGCACUUGGUAGAGAAAAAUCCAUUUAAAAUGGCAUAAGAGAAAACAGUGUUGUAAUAUCAGAAUGAUUUGAGCAAUUUGAGAACAUAAUUAUGACCUUAGGAAGCGGCAUAUUUUCUAGUUUGUUCUUUUCAGUGGCUGCGGAGUGCCGUCUCAUCACCAGCACGCUGGUAUCCUCAGCUCCCACAUAUUGAUCUCAAUAGCGUUUUUCCUUAGCGGUAUCCAGGGCUCAUUCAAAGAAGCUGGGUCCAUGUCUGGGACCAGGGGGAACAUCAGAAUGGCCUGAGACAUCUUGCGAUGGCCAGAAAACCAGGCUGCAACCCAAAAUGCCUGGCUGUUGCUAAAAGAACAAGGGAGUUGGCUGAAAAGGAAAGGGGUCCCUCUGGUCAGGUUGUAACAACUUGGAGAUCACAAAAAAUAACUAGGGCUAUGGUUGGCGAUUUAAAAGAACAAGGGGUGGAGUUCCCGUCGUGGCUCAGUGGUUAACAAAUCCGACUAGGAACCGUGAGGUUUCGGGUUCGAUCCCUGGCCUUGCUCAGUGAGUUGAGGAUCUGGCGUUGCUGUGAGCUAUGGCGUAGGUCUCAGACGUGGCUCGGAUCCCGUGUUGCUGUGGCUCUGGCGUAGGCUGGCGGCUACAGCUCCGAUUCGACCCCUGGCCCGGGAACCUCCAUAUGCCAUGGGACAGCCCUAGAAAAGGCAAAAAGACUAAAUAAAUAAAUAAAUAAAUAAAUAAAUGAAAGAACAAGGGGAGUCUGUGAAAAGCCAUGAGUCUUUAAUGAUCAAAAAGGAAAAUUAAUAUGUGUAAUGACAAAUCUAGGUGUAAUUCAAAGAAAGGAUUUUUAAAAAGGAUGUUUCAGUAAGUAGGUAAGUUUGGCAUAUAUGGGAUUCUGUUUCCUAACUGAAGUUCAGUAUAUCUGAUUAUGAGUUGAAAAGAGCAGGUAAGUUUAUUGUGAAUAAGUCAAAGAUUUCCAGAAGUGAAGGAACUGUACCAAAAUGAGGAAGGGCCAGUCAAGACCGUGAUCUCCGAAAUAACCAGGUAGAAAGAGGGCUCAUAACUGGUGGUGCAAGUUAAUGGAUUAGCCAGAUGUCCUAGGAGAACGGCUGAUAGAUUCAGCUUCUCUAUGACCCUGUAAAUGACACGGAAUGCUAAUGAGACAUAAUGAAGUGAAUUGUAAACCGAGGCAAAACACCAUGUACCCAAAAUUCAAUGGACGUGGAAGUGAAGCUGUGUGACCUCGGGCAGGUGAACCCUCACGCCGUGGUAAAUGUCCACUCUCCCGGCCUGCCUUCUCCUGGGGACGACGGCAUCUGGCUCAUCCUCUGGGGAUUCCCUGGCUCCCACGGAGUGAUUUUUUUGCAGCGCUGUUAUUGACAGUGCGAUUAAGGCAGGUGAGCUUUGUGGCUCUGGGGCAUGGAUUCCUGGGCCCAUCAGUAACUGGGGGCGAGUUAGAUUAGGUAGCUUCCCCUGGGAUGUCAUCCAGCUCCCUGUUCCAACACCAGAGCUGGCCAAGCCGCCAGGCCUCCAAUUCUGACCUAUAAGUGAAGGUUUUCUUGCAAACAUGAAGCUCCGUUACUCUGCUUGUAAAAAUAUCAUGAUUAACAGCAAAGCCUGUAUUGACACAUGCACUGAGGCACGUGGCAUGACUGCCCAUCGGGGACCUACUGUCCAGCACGGGGAACUAGGCUCUAUAUUCUGUGAUCAUCUACGUGGGGAAAGAAUCUGAAAAAGACUGGAUGCGUGUAUAUGUGUAACUGAACCUCUUUGUUGUACGGCAGAAAUUAUCACAACCUUGUAAAUCAACUAUACUUCAAUAAAACUUAAAAAAUAAAAAUAGGCGUCCCGGUCGUAGCUCAGUGGUUAACGCAUCCGACUAGGAACCAUGAGGUUGGGGGUUCAAUCCCUGGCCUUGCUCAGUGGGUUAAGGAUCCGGCGUUGCCGUGAGCUGUGGUGUAGGUCGCAGACACAGCUCGGAUCACACGUUGCUGUGGCUCUGGCGUAGGCUGGCGGCUACAGCUCCGAUUGGACCCCUAGCCUGGGAACCCCCACAUGCCAUGGGUGCGGUCCUAAAAGGUCAAAAGACUAAAUAAUAUAAAUAAGUAAAAAUUUUUUAAAAGAGCAGUGCCCGUAAAGCUUGGCAGCCUAAGUCCAUAACCCUGGCUCCACCUUUAGAAACUAGUACCCUGGGCAAGUUCUAAAACUUGCAGCUUCUCAUCAGUUUCCCCAUUCAUUAAAACAAAGGUGACAAUCUCUACUGCACGGGCUUAUAUUGAGAGGCUGAAAUGAAUUAACACACAAGAGCUAGGUUUUCUUUUCUUUCCUUUUGUGGCCACUCCUUGGAAUAUGGAGUUCCCUGGCCAAGGAUCAGAAUCAAGCCGCGGUUGCGACCUAAACCACAGCUGUGGUAACAACAGAUCCUUAACCCACUGUGCCCACCCAGGGAUCAAACCUGUGUCCCAGUGCUCCCUCCCAAGAUGCCAUCAAUCCUGUUGAGCCACAGUAGGAACUCCUAGCUAGGCUUUCUUUUAAAGAGAAGUCAAAGCAGUGUUCCUACCAGACUCUGUGGAAUUUGAUAUCGCACAAACCUCAUUAGUAUUUGCAUUCUCUCCACCCUGCCUUCACAUGUUGACAGUGUUUGGGUGAGUUCAAUGAGGCUGGUCUCUGCAAAAUUCAAGUAGCAGAGGCGCCUGCCAACCAGAUUUGCUGACAGACUUAGGUCCAGGAGAAAGCAAUGAGCAGUCUGGCCUGGGAGUCGCAUCCUGUGAACGAAAUAAAACCUGAGAAAGCUGAGGGCGAAACCUGCAUUCCCCCAUCCCAUCACCCUCCUCCAGGGACCAGGCUUAGGCCCGGCCUCGACGCCUCCCUCCCCUCCGUCACCCUCCCGCCCCAGAUGAGGUUCAUCAGGGCGACGUUUCCCAUGACUCUUGCCUUUUUAAAAUGUGCUUGGCUCAGGUACAAGCUCCCAUGGAUGCUACAGGGUCCCCCAGGCACCCAGUCCACUCUCCCUGCCUGCUUCCUGCCAGAGCUGGGAAUAGAACAGGAGACCCUUGAUGGGUCUUACCUGGAACAUCGUGGCACUCAGAAACUAUUUGUUGGAGGAAGAGAAAUUGAAUAAAUAAAUGUCUCCAUUUUCUACCGUCAGCAGAUAAACGUGACAGGAACAUUUAGGGGAGGGGGACGUCCCCUGCUUAGAAAUGUAUGUGGACAUCUUUGCAGGGGUUCCCGAGUUUAACACAGAACGUUGGUAUUAAAAUGACCUUAAAGAUCAUGAAAUCAAACCUCUUUAUUUUACAGAUGGGGAAACUGAGGCCCAGACAUGCUAAGCCUGUUGUUAACCAGGCAACCAGGAUGGUGAAGGCAUGUAAAUCCGUGUUUUCUGAUCCACUUUAAAGAAGCUGGGAGGUCCCCACUGUGGCGCAGCAGUAACAAACCCAACUAGUAUCCAUGACGAUGCAAUCCCCGGUUCAAUCCCCGGCCUCACUCAGUGGGUUAAGGAUCCAGCUUUGUGGAUCUGUGACCUGAGAUGUAGGUCACAGAAGCGGCUCGGAUCUGGUGUUGUGGAUGUGGCACAGGCUGGCAACUGCAGCUCUGAUUCGACCCCUAGCCUGGGAACUUCCAUGUGCCACACGUGCUGCCCUAAAAUGCAACAACGACAACAACAAAGUAAGCUGGAAAUGUUUAGUUCUCUUUCUCUGGAGAAGAGAGCAUUAAGUGGGGGCGUGCAUGUUAAAUUUUUUAUUUAAUGCACAGCAGUGACAACGCCUAGCCCUUAACCACUAGAUCACCAGGGAACUCCACAUGCUGAUCUUUAAAAGUCCAAAAGGCAACAAUAUGAAGAGUUUCUUAAGGAAACAAAGUAUUCAAAGAUGAAACAGUCACCCCCUGAUGCUGAGAAGUAACUUCUAGAGAGAAAAGAAGCACCAAAAGGGGAGCAAAGAAAAUGGCCAAAAUGAUAAAAACAGAAAAUACAAGUGCAGGAGGAUACAGAGCAACCAAAACCCUCAGACACUGCUUGUGGGAGAAAUAAUGGCACAACCGCUUUGGAUGACUGGUGGAUGGUUUUGAGAAGGUUAAACUUAACGUCUACCCUGUGAUUUAACAAAUUCACUCCCAGGAAUAGACUCAAUGGAAAUGCACACGCGUUUUUCACUAAAAGACAUACGUGAGAUGUUCAUAGCAGAUUACUAACAGCCCCAACUUGGCGACUCCACAAAUGCGCCUUAACGUUAAAAUGAAGAAUUAGGUUUUAGUACAUUCACACAAUGGAAUGCUGCACAGAAGUCCAAAACUUAUUCCGUAACGCACUAGAAAAUACCUUCAGCUUUGUGUCCAUAUGGUCUUUCCAACUUUUGUCUCUGCAGUACAAUGCAGCCAUAGAUAGUGCAGAAUUGCGUCCGCAUGCAUGACUGUGUUUCAAAAAAAAAAGCAAAACUGGGAAUUCCCUUCGUGGCUCAGCAGUUAACAAACCUGACUAGGAUCCAUGAGGAUGUGGGUUUGAUCCCUGGCCUCGCUCAAUGGGUUAAGGAUC
This 4661-nucleotide long non-coding RNA is filed under the name Sus scrofa (pig). RNAcentral's name for it is "lncRNA (ENSSSCG00000060918.1)". Lineage: Eukaryota; Metazoa; Chordata; Mammalia; Artiodactyla; Suidae. The record is from RNAcentral.